Molecule: long non-coding RNA, 4805 nt
Organism: Malaclemys terrapin pileata
Lineage: Eukaryota; Metazoa; Chordata; Testudines; Emydidae
Exons: 2
Source: RefSeq, a predicted model, not a curated record
CAUAGCUCCCGAAUCGCCAGCCCACGGGCGCGGCAAACUGCUCCCAUGGCAACGAGGCAGGAGUGACCUUCAAUCCAGCGUUUGUGUUUGGGAAACUUAUUUGGCUGAUUUGAUUGUUUCCUCGCAGCUGGUGUUCACGCGCUCAAGAGAUGGGUUCGUUAUCUUAUGUGCAUGUACACUGCCUGGCGUUUCUAUGCGCAGGAAUGUAACCACUAAGAAGAGUUGUAAACAAAGUAAGGAGAGAAAUAAAAACCCCAGGAAAAGUUUUCCUGGAGGCUUUUCCAGCUUGAAGCUUUAAGGCUUUCUGGCUACCACAGACCUGGCGUUCUGUUUCCUUUCCUCCGUCGUCACCACACCUGGUGACCCCGACGUGAUGCCCCUCUACUCACCGGCUGGAUACGCCGAGCGCGCCCGCGGCUGUUUGCCGCCCCUUAUUCGUCCAGGUAUGGGAUAUUUUCCCUACAGACAAAGCAUAAAGAAUCUGCCUUUCAUGGAGUGUCACUUCCUGAGAUGGACAUGUUUCUUAGGACCACUGAGUUUACAUCGCCCUAGGGGGCUUUUUUGUCUCUAGACAAGUUGAAGAAUAAAAGCUUCAGCCAGGAUUAGCAUCAUAAAGAAGCUGCAACCUCCAGCUGAGAGGUAGAAAAUAAUUGUGUUGCAUAAAGAUAAAAAGACACUGAAAAAAAAAUGCACCUUUUGGAAACCAGGAAGAAUCUUCUGCCUGCCUGGCUUAAUUUUGCAAUCCAGCACUCUAAGUUUAAAACAUAAACCUGUCUACUGCUUCAUCCAUAGACAAUGCACCAAUCUAUCUUGAUUUUCUAGGGGAUCAUACCCCAAGCUCCUUCUAGAAUGUCAUAUUUUCCACAUGCCUUAGACGGAUUGCUUUCAUGGUGAUCUGAUAUGCAAAAUGUGAAACAUUUCUGAGCUUUGUUUUGAAGUCCUGAGCUAAACCCCAAUUAUGUUAUAAUAUAUUGUUGCAAAAGAGGCAUUAACACAGACUAUAAUGUACAGGUAACUGGAUCCACAAUGAAAGUGGAAGGGAGAAUUAUAAGAGACAGCAGGAAUGAGUGUAUGGCAUGUUAAAACAUUCACAUGCUGAACUGUGUAUACUUUCCAAUUCAUCCAUGAACAAAUUAGAAUGAGUGUCUACAUUUAAGGAAUGAGGAUGGAGGUUUUUUUUCCUUCAGAAACAGCCAAGAGUUGGUGGUGAACCUUACUUCUUAUCUUAGCGUAAGAACAAUGAUUAAAAUAGUAUCUAUGUCUCGUUCUGCUGGGUAAUAGCAGCAUUUUAAGAUGUAUGUGCUGUUUUGUUUGGACUUCUAGGGAUGGGCGACAGGUUCUGAUACAAUAAGAACUGAUUCAAGUUUACCCCAAAUGUGAAUUAGGUUGUUUUUGAGGUUUGAAAAAUGUCAUGUAACGUUUUCACUUUCACCAACCUCUGCACUGCUGGUGUACUGUUUGACUGGAGUCUGAAACAUAAGUGCUGAUGCACUGGAAGAAAGGGGGCUUUGUGGUGGUUUUGGACCAAUAUUUCAAACUGAAAAAGGUGGGGUAGUUUGAACAAGCUCCGAUUAAGCAUUCAAAAGUCUGAACAUGAGCAAGGAUUCCUCAUUACUGCGUAGUGCAUUUUGGGAUACAAAGUAAAUGGUCUUUUUUUUAAAAAGGUCCCUUCCAACCCUGAUAUUCUAUGAUUCUCCUGAAGGGGGAGGAGUUGGCAGGCGUUAGCUGAAACCUGAUUAUUCUUGAGGAAGGCCCCCCAUAGGUCCAUGUAGGUGCCAUCCAUUCAGCUUCUGCCUCUGCUUGCUGGCUCCUUUACCACCUGGCAGCAUGUAGCACCUGCAAAAGCCAUUUUUCCAUUGACUGGGCCCCCUGUGGCUGCUCAGUAGCCAGAGAGGACAUUUGUGGAUAAUACAGCUCUUAGAAUUUACCUGAAAACACAAGCAAGAUAAGCAAGGAGAGUACAAUGGACUGUGGCCAGGCCCAUGCUCCUGCUGCUUGCUCCACAACUAAAAGUCAUCAGAGUCCCUUGCAGAGUCAAGACAGGAGUCUCCCACACUCCUGUGCAGAGGAGGUGGUCAUGUCCUGAACUGAGAAAGAACUUUUUAUUAUAAUCCAGAUUCCUACUCUCCUGUGAGAGUUCAGUUCUGUAGAGACAGUGGUUACUCUGCAUGAGGCCAAACAUUAUCUGUCAGUCUUCAAGGAAGCAUGCAAGUCAGAACUGAAAUCCAUUCUGUUUCCCACUGCAGAAAAUGCACACGCAGCCUUGAGUUUCAUUUGUUUACAUUCAUUGGCUAUUAGAUCAUUAGAAUGUAUGUGCAGAGGCUGAGCUGUUUUCCGCAGAUAUUCAGAAAAGAAAGAAGCCAAACGGACAUUUUCCAAGAGGCAACAAAGGAUGUGAACGUUAAAAGAUCUGAAAUGUUUUUUUUUUAAUUAUAUCAAAUGGUUAUGGUGGAAAUGCCAAUAACACCAUCAUCCCUACCACUGCAACCCUAAUUCUGAGCUCACAUACAUGGGUUGGACACCAGCAUAACUCCUCUCACUGCAGUGGAGUAACUCCUGACAUGCACAGAGCAGAAGCAGGACCUGACUGACUAGUGUAAAGAUUACAACAUAAGAACAUAAGAACGGCCAUACUAGGUCCUUGAUCCUCCAAACUGGGCAGUGAUUUAAGUCUGAUACUUUAACCUCUACAAAGAUCACCAAAAAAGCAAGCUGAAUACUCAUUCCCCACCCUCCCUUCUUAGUGGUAGAGGUGUUGAAAAUGGGCACUCCAGCAAGAUAAACCAGGGCCAUGCAAAAACUCUCCGCUGUGAGUUCAUGUGCUUUGGAUGAACUUUUACUAGCAGUUUCACUUCCCCUGUGUUCCUAGCCCCAAGAUGCACUGGAUGGAAAUGUCGGGUUUAUAUGAACGCUGGGAAUACAUGCUAGUUUGAUCAUGAAACCAGCAGCUUUGCCACAGCCCCGAGAUACCCCCCCACAACACACAUCCUUCACUUCUCACACAGUGAUAUUUUCAGCUGGCAGCCAGCUUCAUGCUUCUCUGCUCCCAGGAUCUUCAGAGCACCAGCCUGUCCCCAGGCUGCCUGUCUGUCCCCAGUUCAGAACUUGUACCAGGAAAUGCUGCUCUAGUCUCAGAGCAAUUUUAAAAUCCAAAGCACCUACAGCAUGGACCAUGGCACAGAGGCACACAGCUAGAUAUCCAGCAAAGGUUUUCUUUUCAUUCCAAAGGGGAGCUAACGUGUCUUAAGUGUAGCAGUGCCACUCACUACUAGGCACGCAGCAAAAAUGAAGAGGCGGUCAAGCUCCCUGUGCCUGACGCGAGCCUGGCACCAAUCAUUGCAUGCAUAUACUGUUUCCCAGGAAGACAGCUGAGUGCUGCAGUGGAAUGAUGGCAAGGGCAGCAGUGGCCAGGCAGUUCUUAAUUUAAAAAAAAAAUUAAAUAAAAGGGAUAAGAACAUCCCUCAAGGCUAAAAACUCUUCACUUGCCCAAGAAGACAGAGAUUUGAAAGGGGAGAAGUAGCACAAGGAGCUUAUGGAGUUAAAUAAACAGGAAGGCUUAUGCUGUAACCAUGGAGAGAUUGAUGGGGAAACAGCAGGAGCCUGAGUUAAAUAGGCAGUUUUUGUAGGCUUGGACUGGAAGUGAUUUUUGUUUAAAGGCAGGCUGACAAAUCAUAGCCAGUGUAUCUGUGUUGCCAGGGAAAAGGUGCACAAUGUUUGCUAAUGGUAAAACUGCUGUGCCUUGGAAUGAAAGUGACCACUUUUAUCAGAGGCCAGUGGUAACAGAAAGAAGUUAAAGGGACACUUUUAAGGCUGGUAGGCCUAAUAUUAGACCUACUAGGUUUAUGGUGUCUCACCAUCCUUCUGCUUCUUAUGAACAAGCAAUAUUUUUUCCUAUUUCAGAAAUGUGACAAUUCAUCUGAAUGGAUGAACUAAACAGGCAGGGGCUGCAUCUGCUUUCAUUGACAUAAGUGUAAAUCAGAAAUAACUAUGAAGUGAACAGAUUUACCUAAUGUAAACCCAGACUCAGACUCACAGAGUAUAGGCUCAGAAUGGAUACACACACUCCUCAGCCAACCUGCUACAGUGCUAGAUCAUACAGCAGAACAUUAUGGCAUUUAGCAAUGGUGCAGUCCUGAUUUUUCAUUUAUUUAUGAUCCAAGAAGACCAUUUGUAAUGGUUUCUGGAAUAGUGGCAUGAUGCCAGGUCUCCAGCAAAGACGUGCCUUUCAUUUCAAAAAGCAUGACUCACAACAUAUCCUAUGUAAGAGGCAAUAGCUCUGGAAUGCUCACAUACUGUACUCUGUGGUGGCUACAUGAGACAAUCAUUGAAUCUGAUAGAAAACUCUUCUGUAGCUAAAUGUUUUGUAUUCGAUUAGAGAUAACCCAAACUGUGAAGUUAAGAUCUAGAUUCAGAUCAGAAUUUGAAACUUCUCAAACUGCUAAUGGGUUCAUUCUUCUGGAUCAGAUCCAUUACAGAGAUGGGUCCAAACUUCAUGGACUGGAUUUGAAUCCGGAUUUCCCAGGGUCUGGGGUUCUGGUUUGAGUGUCGCUGUACAUUGCAUGUUACAUUUAUAAUAAGACGAAUUCAAGGGUUUAUAGAGUAAACCCUGAUAAGAAACCUCAGUGUCACAAAAUUAUCGAAGAUUGAAAUCAAAAUCAAUUUAGGUGUGACAGUCCCAGAUCACUUUAUAUUAUGAAAAGUGGAUAUAAAUUUAGGGAUUGACCCUGGCAUCCUUACUCUCAUGAGUAACCCCCUUGAAGUCAAUGAGAAUUCUUCUUGAAUAAAUGCGGAACUUUCAACCUCAA